RNAcentral lists this ribosomal RNA (497 nucleotides) under uncultured bacterium. Its description in RNAcentral is "partial 16S ribosomal RNA". It matches the Rfam family "Bacterial small subunit ribosomal RNA", at positions 28 to 507 of the family's 1533-position model. The record is from RNAcentral.
GAUGAACGCUGGCGGCGUGCCUAAUACAUGCAAGUCGAGCGAACAGACGAGGAGCUUGCUCCUCUGACGUUAGCGGCGGACGGGUGAGUAACACGUGGAUAACCUACCUAUAAGACUGGGAUAACUUCGGGAAACCGGAGCUAAUACCGGAUAAUAUAUUGAACCGCAUGGUUCAAUAGUGAAAGACGGUUUUGCUGUCACUUAUAGAUGGAUCCGCGCCGCAUUAGCUAGUUGGUAAGGUAACGGCUUACCAAGGCGACGAUGCGUAGCCGACCUGAGAGGGUGAUCAGCCACACUGGAACUGAGACACGGUCCAGACUCCUACGGGAGGCAGCAGUAGGGAAUCUUCCGCAAUGGGCGAAAGCUUGACGGAGCAACGCCGCGUGAGUGAUGAAGGUCUUCGGAUCGUAAAACUCUGUUAUUAGGGAAGAACAAAAGUGUAAGUAACUAUGCACGUCUUGACGGUACCUAAUCAGAAAGCCACGGCUAACUACGUG